Saccostrea cuccullata (small rock oyster) is the source of this 370-nucleotide long non-coding RNA. RefSeq lists it as uncharacterized. The transcript has 4 exons. NCBI's taxonomy places the organism in Eukaryota, Metazoa, Mollusca, Bivalvia, Ostreida, Ostreidae. The record is from RefSeq and is a predicted model, not a curated record.
CUGUUUUUAUUUUCAUAUUUUCAUUCAUACCAUGCUUUUAUAUCAUCUAUACAGAUAGUGUAACAGGAAAACAGGAAAAGAGAAAAUCACAGAGUUCGACGAAGACUUUAUUUCCACAUUGACAUAUUAUCAACAAACAAUGAAUCUGAUGCACAGAAUCCUGAUUUUUAUAUAUACAGGAAUAUUAGGAACAGUAAGUUGUUUAUCCAGCUGUUCUUUUUGAAGUAACAAAAAGAUGAAAUUCUUGGGAAAACAGUGAGAGGAAAUGUGCAACAUUGUGAGAUUGCAAUGAUGUAAUUUGGCUUCAACAAGUCAUAGAGCUGGCUUCCAUUUCCUCUUAAGGGAAUUGGUGGAGAAAGACCAACAGGUA